This 236-nucleotide ribosomal RNA is filed under the name uncultured bacterium. Its description in RNAcentral is "partial 16S ribosomal RNA". It matches the Rfam family "Bacterial small subunit ribosomal RNA", at positions 15 to 229 of the family's 1533-position model. The record is from RNAcentral.
GAUCCUGGCUCAGGACGAACGCUGGCGGCGUGCCUAACACAUGCAAGUCGAACGAAGCUUGAUUUCUGAUUUUUUUUCGGAAUGACGAAUGAUAUGACUGAGUGGCGGGACGGGUGAGUAACGCGUGAGCAACCUGCCCUUCGGAACGGGAUAGUGUCUGGAAACGGACAGUAAUACCGUAUAACAUAUAUUGAUCGCAUGGUCGAUAUAUCAAAACUGAGGUGCCGAAGGAUGGG